Molecule: long non-coding RNA, 6563 nt
Filed under: Panax ginseng (ginseng)
Lineage: Eukaryota; Viridiplantae; Streptophyta; Magnoliopsida; Apiales; Araliaceae
Description: long non-coding RNA (PGIN_LNC010317)
Source: RNAcentral
CCAAGUAAUUUAGGGGAUGGGGAAGGAACUGGUCGAUGUAAUUAGUGGCAAUGUAGUAGAGGGAGUAGGCCAUGAGGAGAUCUUGAAUGAGGUAGCGGAACGAGGUGAAGAGGGAUUUUUGGAAGCAAUGAGCUGGAAUGGCUUUCUUUAGGUCUCCUAUGGUGAAGGGCGGUUUGUCGUGAGGGGCUCGGCGAAGGGCUUCGGCUUGUGUCUUUUUGUUGGCAUUAGGGGGAGCUGACAUACGCCCACCUGCACCCAUUUUUUGGAUAUAUUGGCCUGCCUGCAAUUAGGAAGAUGAAAAUGUACCAUAUUAAGCACAGAACAUAUGUCAUUGUACAUUUAUAUGUGCUAAGCUGGAUAAUAAGAUAGAGAUAUCAUAAGAAAUUCCAAAAAAAUAAUAACAGAGGUGCAUCUUUUACCUAUAGAAACCUAUAUGAAAUUUGUUUUAUUUUAACAUGUGCAACUUUAUAAAACUUUAGAGAAAAAAGUUGUAUCUAUACUAUUGUUUGUUGGAUUUUUUCUAAUAAUGAAUUAGACGAAGAAAAGACUUGAAGCUAACAUAUUUAGAUAAUGUUUGAUUAGUGUAUGAAAAUAAUACCUGAAAGAGAAGCUUUUGCUGGUCUCUUCCUCUGCCUUUGUUUCUGUGUUAUGUUGCUGCUGCUCUUACUAUGUUCCCCCACAACUUCACUAUUUAUAUAGAAAGUCUUUCUAAGCUAUAAGAUGACCCACUAGGUAAUGUUUAAAGCAGCUUGAAGCGCUCGCCCGCCAGCCCGCCACUCGGUAGCUGUCUGGACUUUGCACUUAAUUUCUUUCUUUUAGUAUGUUUCCUAGAUGUUUGUUGGUGUUUGGUACUAGUAGUAGUGUAAAAUUAGGGCGGGAGCCAUUUCUCAGUCCUAAAGGGCUGCUUAAAUUGCUAGAAUUUCAGUCCAUAUUGGCGACUACAUAUUUUAAAAAAAUUUCUUUUUCAGCUAUUUUAGUCAUGCAUUGGAGGCUCAACUAAUUAGCGAUAUGGGCAAUCUUCUCUUAUAUGUUGGCUGUUGCACUCAAUGAUUAGUCCAAUUUAUUUUUUAUUCACCCUCUACCAUAAUUUUUUUUUAUGCAAUUUCGAAUCAACAUUUAAAAUUGGCUAGUAGUAUUAGAUAUUUAAUUAAUUUUAUCUAACGUACUAAAGUUCUAACAGUAACAUAUCACUAUUUUAUAUUGAAAGUCAAGUUGUAACUAAGAAAAAUAAAACUAAUUAAUUAAUUUCAUCCUUGUUAAUUUGAAUACUCCAAAAUGAAGAAUACCACUUUAACAUAUUUGACACAUGGGCCUAAUCUCCCAACUGAAUAAUGUUCCAACAAUUUAUUUAAAAAUCUUAUUCUUCAGUCAGGCACUGGCGUGCUCUAGUCUAGUGAAUUGUCAGUCAACUUUACUGUACUAAUUUGACUGAAGACCCUAUUGACUUGGGAAAGUAUGUUUGUUAGCAUCAUUCACUUCAGGCUACCACAUAUAUAUAACUACAACCCAAAGUUGUGGAAUUCAGCAAAUUAAUUAAGCCAAACAUCUACCAAAUCCAGCAACAAACAAAGCUAGAGAGAACUAGCUAGCUAGCUUGUAUUUCCACUGAAAAAGCCAAAUACAUUUAGGCCAUUCCACAAUGGGUAAAGGUGGCCGUAUGCCCAUCAGCAACCAGGCGAAGCAAACCCAGAAAAAUGACAAUAACAACAAUAAUAUUAUCUGUCGAGUCCCUCAUGAAAAACCACCAUUUACUCUCGCCGACAUCAAAAAAGCCAUUCCACACCAUUGCUUCAACCGUUCCCUCCUCCGCUCUUCCUCCUACCUCCUUCUCGACCUCGCUGUUUGCUUCCUCCUCUACUACAUUUCCACAACCUACAUUCCCCUCCUCCCUAAACCCCUCUCCUAUCUCGCUUGGACCGCUUAUGUUUAUAUCCAAGGUUGUUUCCUGUUCGCCGUAUGGGUAGUCGCCCACGAAUGUGGCCACCAUGCCUUUAGCAACUACCACUUGCUAAAUGACACCCUUGGCUUCAUUCUCCAUUCCCUUCUCCUCGUCCCUUAUUUCUCUUGGAAAAUUAGCCAUCGUCGCCACCACGCCAACACCAAUUCUCUUGACCGAGAUGAAAACCAUGUCCCAAGAUUCAAGGACACGAUAAGAUCAUAUUACCAUCACUUCAACAACCCGCUUGGCCGAGCAUUCAUCAUUGCAUUCACGCUAACUUUAGGAUGGCCUUUGUAUUUGAUUGUAAACAUAGCGGGAAGAUCUUAUGACCGUCUUGCAUCCCAUUUUGACCCAUAUAGUCCGAUUUAUUCCGACCGUGAGCGGGCUCAAAUCUUGUUGUCAGAUAUUGGUUUUCUUGCCGCAGUUUAUGGGCUCUAUCGGAUUGCACUAGUAAAAGGACUUUCAUGGGUAAUGCUAGUAUACGGAGCUCCGUUACAUGUGGUAAAUGGGUUUCUUGUGAUGAUAACUCUACUGCAUCACACUCAUCUAUCGUUGCCUCACUACGAUUCGUCUGAGUGGGAUUGGUUAAGGGGAGCUCUAGCCACUGUGGACAGAGAUUAUGGAAUUCUAAACAAAGUGUUCCAUCACAUAGCGGAUACUCAUGUGCUCCACCAUUUGAUCUCUAGCAUUCCUCAUUAUCAUGCCCAAGAGGCGACUGAGGCGAUAAAGCCGGUAUUGGGGGAUUAUUACCAUUAUGAUGGAACUCCAUUCUACAAGGCAAUGUGGAGAGAGGCAAAGGAAUGUCUGUAUGUUGAGGCAGAGGAAGGAGAGAAGAGCAAAGGUGUUUACUGGUACAAGAACAAGCUUUGAGUUCAAUCCAAUCCAUAUAAAUGAUUAAAUGUUCUCUUUAGAACUAAAAGGGUACGUAGAGACCUUGUAAUGGAGAAAUCUUACCUUUCACUACAUAUAUAUGUUGGAAUGAUUCAACAACAAGAAGUAUUUUCAGAGGCAAGAAGUAUUUGCAUUUGAGGGUAUAUUGGUAUAAUUAAUGAUCUUACAAAAUAUGAGCUACACUAGAAUACCACUGGUGCGCCGAGGCAAAAAUCUCCAAGUUUCGAAUGUUAUGGAGUCAUUUAUUUUUUCUAUUUUUAUUUAUUUAAAAUAAUCACUGUAGAAAUUCAUAAAAUUACCUUUAAUUUAAUUAUUUUAAUAGCACGAGCUUCUUUCUAUUGAGCUAUUUAAGGUGAAAAAUUCUAUGACCAUAUAAAACUGUUGUUAAUUAAGUGUCAAAAGGGCAACGAAGUAGAUUAAAUGAACGAAUAUGUCUUUAAAUAUUAGCUGAGUUAUUUUAAAUAUUAUGAAAUUAAAUAACAUAAAUAAAUAUCUUAUAAUCCUUAUUAUACUCUCUGUUACAAAAAUAAUAAAAAUAAUAUAAAAAUAAAAUAGUAAUCUAAAUAUAAAACUUAAGAUUUUUUUUUUUUUUUUUAUAAAAUCAGUAGUUACAUAAAAUAAAACUUAUGUUAUAAUAAACUCAGUAAUUAAUAACAUGAAAUAAACAUUAAUAGGACUCGAUCGAUCCUAACCUUAAUGGUUGGACUUGAUUUUUAAAACUUCAUAAGGUUAGCGUGGGGUGUGGGAUGUAGACAACCAAAUUUUAAGUUCCACUACAAAAAAUAGUGAGAGAUUAGUUGGACAGAUAUUUCUGUGUAGUGCUGUAAAUUAUCGGAAAAUAGGAUAUUAUUAGUAUUUGUUUAAAGCGGAUAUUAUUCGUAUUCAAUUUAAACGGAUAUUAUUCACAUUCGAUUAGAUAUAUUCAUAAAUAAACGGAUACAAAUACGAAUUUUAUAUCUGUUUAACAUCCGUCCACCGACAGAUAUGCGGUUUAUAAUUCUUAGCAAAAAAAUAGGUUUUAUUAUAAAAUGAUAAUAUUUUUUUAAUAUCUUUCAUAAAUAUAUUUUAUUAAAUAGAGUGAUUGAUUUUUAUUUCUUUUGAAUUUUAUAAUUUAAUCAUAAGGUUGAUAAUUGUGUUAUGUUAUAUUAAUAUCAUAAUAGUAAUUUUUAAAAUUUUUAAAUAUUUAUUUACUAUUUAAUAUACUAUAUAUAAUUAGAACAAUGACAAACUAUUGGCUAAGUUAAUUAGGACGUUUUUGGUGAGUCUGGAGUUGACUCAAUUAAUAAUUAUUUUUUAUUUUUAAUACACUAUAAUAGUUAGCUCUAAUUUCAUUGCUCUGAGUUAUGAUUAAGUUCAAACACACAUUAUCCUAAUUAUCAUUAUUAAAGAUAUAUUCUUAAUUAAAUUUUUAAUACAUAGAGUAUAAUUUUUAUUUAUAAUAUAUUCGAAAUAUUUAUAGACUCCUACAUUAAUUAAAUAUUGAUUCAUUAUAUACUUAUUUUGUAUUAAAAUUAUAUUUUUAAUUAUAAUAUAAAAUAAAAUAUUCCUCUUUUUUUGGUAAUGAUAAUAUAAAAUAUGUCACUUGCAAUUAAUAUUAGUUGGUAAAUUAAAGGUACACGAAUAAUUUCAAUUCUCUAUUUUACAUUUAUUAUUAGAUAUCUAUUAAGUAGAAGAUAUACUUUGUAAUAAAAAAAUAUGCAUCUUGUUUUGGUAAUGAUAAUAUAAUAUAUGCCACUUCAAUUAAUUCUACUUGCAAUUAAUAUUGGAAACUGAUAAAUCCACAACAGAAAAUAAUAUUUUCACAUCAAAACUAUCGUUAUACAUCCUAUAGUGACGGUUUUCACCGUCGCUAUACAUUUAUAGCGACACUUUUCAUGUGAAAAUAUAAAUGCACUUUAUGUGACAUAAUAUAUAAAUAAGAGUUCUUCUAGGUGGACAUGGAAAUUGGACAUGAUUGUAUUUUAAUUUUACUUAUUUGUAUUUUUACCCACCAUUAGGGGUCAAAAUACAAAUAAGUGAAAUUGAAAUACACUCAUGUCUAAUUUUCAUGUCUAAUUUUCAUAUCCAGAUAGAAUUUUUGUAUACAUAAAUAAAUAUAAUUUAUGUUUUCCUACUUAAAAAAAUUAUUUCAAUUCUGAAUUUUACCAUUUUACAUUUAUUAGAUAUAAAAAUCAUUAAUUAACUCUCCUCCCUCAAGGCUUCUGGCCUGCUAAUCCUUAACAUAUAUAUAUAUAUAUAUAUAUAUAUAUAUAUCUUAGUUAGAGAAUUUGGUUACUAUUAAUCUAAUAUUACGCACCUACCAAGGCAGCCAGCCUCUGGGCUCUGGUCACACAACCCUACAAACAUUAAUGGUGUGUUUGUUUGAUUGUAUGCAGUUUAUAUUCGUUACUCAAGUAUGCCGAAACAGGAGCAUUAAUUCAAUAGAGAAACAAAAGGUAUAUAUUAACUGAGAUAAUGAAAACUAUAUAAAUUAAAAUUAGAAAGAUAUUCUUGAACAACAGUACAAACUAAUAAAGACGUUGUUUUUCAACACUUUUUAUCUUACUACAGUGCAACAUUAAUAAUUGAAUGAACCAAUCUAAUUAAACUGCUAGAAUUAAGGAAAAUUCUUUAUCAAGUACGUAGUCACAUCAGAAUUCAUUUCUGUACCAGUACACUCCUCUCGUCUCACCUUCAUCUUUCUCAACGUAGAUGCAUUCCUUCAUUUCUCUAUACAUGGCCUUCACAAUUGGAGUUCCAUCAUAUUGAUAAUAAUCACCCAAUAUCGGCUUCAUUGCCUCCGUUGCUUCGAGUCCGUGAUAAUGAGGGAUCAUUGAGAAUAUAUGGUGACAAACAUGAGCAUUGCACACAUUAUGGAACACCUUGUUCAAAAUCCCGUAAUCUCUAUCAACUGUGCAUAGAGCUCCCCUCAACCAAUCCCACUCCGUCGAAUCAUAGUAAGGCAAAGAAGGAUGAGUGUGAUUAAGUAUAGUAAUCAACACGAACCAUCCGUUAACAACAAGCAACGGACCUCCAUACACACAGAAAACCCAAACAAAUCCUUUGAGUAACACCACCCGAUAUAGGCCAUAAAUCACAGCAAGAAUAGCGAUAUCAGAAAUAACAAUCUCUUUGCGCUCCCGGUCAGAGUAAAGCGGACUAUGGGGAUCAUAAUGGGAAGUCCACCUUCCGUACUUGUGCCCAGAUACAUUGAACAUCAAGUAUAAAGGAAAACCAAUAAGUAGGGUGGUGAGCCACACGAGAACACGACCCGGUGGAUUGUUGAGCAUUUUGUAGUAGUUUCGGAUAUUGGACUUGAAUCUCGGGACGUAGACCUCGUCAUUGUCAAGGGAUUGGGUGUUGGCGUGGUGACGACGGUGACUAAUUUUCCAAGAGAAAUAAGGGACCAUUAGAGAGGAAUGGACUAUUAGGCCCACGAGGUCGUCGACCCAUUGGUAGUCACUAAAGGCGUGGUGGUCGCAUUCGUGGCCUAUGACCCAAGCUCCGGUUAGUACACAACCUUGGACGGCAAUGUAAGCGGCCCAGCCUAAGUAGUUGAGGGGAUGGGGAAGGUAUUGGUCGAUGUAAUUGGUGGCAAUGUAAUAGAGGGAGUAGGCCAUGAGGAGAUCUUGAAUGAGGUAGCGGAAUGAGGUGACGAGAGAUUUUUGGAAGCAAUGGGCUGGAAUGGCUUUUUUAAGGUCUCCUAUGGUGAAGGGAGGUUUGUCGUGAGGGGCUCGGCGAAGGGCUUCGGCUU